UACGGGGGGGGCAAGCGUUGUUCGGAAUUACUGGGCGUAAAGGGCUCGUAGGCGGCCAACUAAGUCGGAUGUGAAAUCCCCAGGCUUAACCUGGGAACUGCAUCCGAUACUGGAUGGCUUGAAUCCGGGAGAGGGAUGCAGAAUUCCAGGUGUAGCGGUGAAAUGCGUAGAUAUCUGGAGGAAUUCCGGUGGCGAAGGCGGCAUCCUGGACCGGCAUUGACGCUGAUGAGCGAAAGCUAGGGGAGCAAACGGG
RNAcentral lists this ribosomal RNA (253 nucleotides) under uncultured bacterium. RNAcentral's name for it is "partial 16S ribosomal RNA". It matches the Rfam family "Bacterial small subunit ribosomal RNA", at positions 524 to 776 of the family's 1533-position model. The record is from RNAcentral.